CUACGGGUCGCAGCAGUGGGGAAUAUUGCACAAUGGGCGCAAGCCUGAUGCAGCCAUGCCGCGUGUAUGAAGAAGGCCUUCGGGUUGUAAAGUACUUUCAGCGGGGAGGAAGGGAGUAAAGUUAAUACCUUUGCUCAUUGACGUUACCCGCAGAAGAAGCACCGGCUAAGUCGUGCCAGCAGCCGCGGUAAUACGGAGGGUGCAAGCGUUAAUCGGAAUUACUGGGCGUAAAGCGCACGCAGGCGGUUUGUUAAGUCAGAUGUGAAAUCCCCGGGCUCAACCUGGGAACUGCAUCUGAUACUGGCAAGCUUGAGUCUCGUAGAGGGGGGUAGAAUUCCAGGUGUAGCGGUGAAAUGCGUAGAGAUCUGGAGGAAUACCGGUGGCGAAGGCGGCCCCCUGGACGAAGACUGACGCUCAGGUGCGAAAGCGUGGGGAGCAAACAGGAUUAGAUACCCGUGUAGUC
Molecule: ribosomal RNA, 463 nt
Filed under: uncultured bacterium
Lineage: Bacteria
Description: partial 16S ribosomal RNA
Rfam family: Bacterial small subunit ribosomal RNA
Source: RNAcentral